UGGCGAACGGGUGAGUAACACGUGGGUGAUCUGCCCUGCACUCUGGGAUAAGCCUGGGAAACUGGGUCUAAUACCGGAUAGGACCAUGCUUUAGUGUGUGUGGUGGAAAGUUUUUUCGGUGUAGGAUGAGCCCGCGGCCUAUCAGCUUGUUGGUGGGGUAAUGGCCUACCAAGGCGGCGACGGGUAGCCGGACUGAGAGGUUGGCCGGCCACAUUGGGACUGAGAUACGGCCCAG
Molecule: ribosomal RNA, 235 nt
Filed under: uncultured Actinomycetales bacterium
Lineage: Bacteria; Bacillati; Actinomycetota; Actinomycetes; Actinomycetales
Description: partial 16S ribosomal RNA
Rfam family: Bacterial small subunit ribosomal RNA
Source: RNAcentral